RNAcentral lists this ribosomal RNA (1488 nucleotides) under Triticum aestivum (bread wheat). Its description in RNAcentral is "partial small subunit ribosomal RNA". Lineage: Eukaryota; Viridiplantae; Streptophyta; Magnoliopsida; Poales; Poaceae. The record is from RNAcentral.
AUGGCAUGCGGAAGAGCGCACACAAGAUGGCAUGCGGAAGAGCGCACACAAGAUGGCUUGAUUAGGCAUCCUAAAGAUUCCCUCCUUUGGAAAGAUUUUGAUGAAAAAAAUAAAGAUUUUGCAAAAGACAACAGAAAUCUUAAGCUUGUAGUACGUGCCGAUGGUUUUAAUCCGUUUAGAUCCAUGAAUCUCAGCUAUAGCAUUUGGCCAGUAUUAUUGAUUCCUUAUAACUUUCCACCCUGGAUGAUUAUGAAGCAAUCAAAUUUCAUCCUAUCACUGUUGAUUCCUGGCAGAAAUUCUCCUGGUAGUGAUAUUGAUGUCUAUCUUGAGCCACUAGUUGAUGAUAUGGUAGAUAUGUUUCUUGAUGGUGUUAGGACCUAUGAUGCUUCAACCGGAGAGUAUUUUCAGUUUCAUGCUGCCAUAAUAUGCACAAUUACGGAUAAACCAGGUCUUGGGUCUUUGGUUGCCUGUGCUUCCUCUGGAGAAGGAGCUUGCCCUGAAUGCCACUCUCAAUUAUGUUCUCUUAGGCUAAAAAAUGGUAGCAAGACUUGCUAUAUGGGGCAUCGUAGGUUCUUACAUGCAGAUCACCCCUUGAGGUAUGAUACACGCACAUUUGGUGACAUAGAACGUGGGACAGCAGCCGUUCCACUUUCCGGUAGGCAAAUCUUAGAGCUGACAGAAAAUAUGCAAACCAAGUUUGGGAAGGAUCCUAUAACGAAGAAGCCUAGAACUAAGAAACGCAAGAAAGGGGAUCCGCUGAUCAUUUGGAAAAGAAAGUCUAUUUGGUUUAAACUACCAUAUUGGAAGGAUUUGAAGAUGCAUCAUAACUUCGAUGUCAUGCACAUAGAAAAAAAUGUGUGUGAGAACAUAGUUAACACUUUGUUGGCAGUCAAUGGAAAAACCAAGGAUAAUAUUAAUUCUCGAUAUGACCUUCAAGCACUCAGUAUUAGAAAGGAUCUUCAACCUAUUGAUCUUGAUGAUGAUGAAGUUUUUUUUCCUCCGGCACCUUACACAAUGGAAUCUGAUCAGCAGAGGACAUUUUGCAAAGUAUUUAAAAAUGCCAUGUUUCAUAAUGGUUAUGCAUCUGACAUACGCCGUAAUGUGCAUUUUAAGGAGAAAAAGAUAACUGGGCUAAAGAGCCAUGACAACCAUGUCCUUUUGCAAGACUUGCUGCCACUUGCAGUGAGAAGAACAUUACCAGAAAGAGUGAGUGCGGUACUGAUUCGUGUGAGCAGAUUUUUCAAGCGAAUGUACUCACAGGUUAUUCGCAUAAGUGACAUGCAAAGGUUGCAGGAUGAAAUAGCUGAGACCUUGAGCCUUCUUGAGGCCAUAUUCCUCCCAUCAUUUUUCGAUAUUAUGGUGCAUUUGAUGGUUCAUCUUCCAGCACAAGCAAUGAUAGCUAGUCCAGUACAUUUUCGCAGCAUGUGGGCUGUAGAGAGGUAUAUAGGAAAGCUCAAGGGACAUGUCCACACCAGAAGUCAUGUGUAA